GAUGAACGCUGGCGGCGUGCCUAACACAUGCAAGUCGAGCGAUUCUYUUYGGAGAAGAGCGGCGGACGGGUGAGUAACGCGUGGGUAACCUGCCCUGUACACACGGAUAACAUACSGAAAGGUAUGMUAAUACGGGAUAAUAUAUAAGAGUCGCAUGACUUUUAUAUCAAAGAUUUUUCGGUACAGGAUGGACCCGCGUMUGAUUAGCUUGUUGGCGGGGUAMCGKCCCACCAAGGCGACGAUCAGUAGCCGACCUGAGAGGGUGAUCGGCCACAUUGGAAYUGAGACACGGUCCAAACUCCUACGGGAGGCAGCAGUGGGGAAUAUUGCACAAUGGGCGCAAGCCKGAUGCAGCAACGCCGSGUGAGCGAUGAAGGCCUUCGGGUSGUAAAGCUCUGUCCUCAAGGAAGAUAAWGACGGKACUGAGGAAAGACAUACCUGGGAAACG
Molecule: ribosomal RNA, 448 nt
Filed under: uncultured bacterium
Lineage: Bacteria
Description: partial 16S ribosomal RNA
Rfam family: Bacterial small subunit ribosomal RNA
Source: RNAcentral